Molecule: ribosomal RNA, 3028 nt
Filed under: Salmonella enterica subsp. enterica serovar Panama str. SA20030878
Lineage: Bacteria; Pseudomonadati; Pseudomonadota; Gammaproteobacteria; Enterobacterales; Enterobacteriaceae
Description: bacterial LSU rRNA
Rfam family: Bacterial large subunit ribosomal RNA
Source: RNAcentral
GGGUUGUGAGGUUAAGCGACUAAGCGUACACGGUGGAUGCCCUGGCAGUCAGAGGCGAUGAAGGGCGUGCUAAUCUGCGAUAAGCGCCGGUAAGGUGAUAUGAACCGUUAUAACCGGCGAUACCCGAAUGGGGAAACCCAGUGUGAUUCGUCACACUAUCAUUAACUGAAUCCAUAGGUUAAUGAGGCGAACCGGGGGAACUGAAACAUCUAAGUACCCCGAGGAAAAGAAAUCAACCGAGAUUCCCCCAGUAGCGGCGAGCGAACGGGGAGGAGCCCAGAGCCUGAAUCAGCAUGUGUGUUAGUGGAAGCGUCUGGAAAGGCGCGCGAUACAGGGUGACAGCCCCGUACACAAAAGCGCAUGUGCUGUGAGCUCGAUGAGUAGGGCGGGACACGUGGUAUCCUGUCUGAAUAUGGGGGGACCAUCCUCCAAGGCUAAAUACUCCUGACUGACCGAUAGUGAACCAGUACCGUGAGGGAAAGGCGAAAAGAACCCCGGCGAGGGGAGUGAAAAAGAACCUGAAACCGUGUACGUACAAGCAGUGGGAGCCCCACCACUAAGCCAGUGGUGAACUCCACAUACGCAUCCUUUGCUGAGGAUACGGUUAACGGAGCGCAAGCGACGUUCAACCUCAAAAGAAGCAGAGGGGGCUUAGUGGUGGGGUGACUGCGUACCUUUUGUAUAAUGGGUCAGCGACUUAUAUUCUGUAGCAAGGUUAACCGUAUAGGGGAGCCGGAGGGAAACCGAGUCUUAAUUGGGCGUUAAGUUGCAGGGUAUAGACCCGAAACCCGGUGAUCUAGCCAUGGGCAGGUUGAAGGUUGGGUAACACUAACUGGAGGACCGAACCGACUAAUGUUGAAAAAUUAGCGGAUGACCUGUGGCUGGGGGUGAAAGGCCAAUCAAACCGGGAGAUAGCUGGUUCUCCCCGAAAGCUAUUUAGGUAGCGCCUCGUGAAUUCAUCUCCGGGGGUAGAGCACUGUUUCGGCUAGGGGGCCAUCCCGGCUUACCAACCCGAUGCAAACUGCGAAUACCGGAGAAUGUUAUCACGGGAGACACACGGCGGGUGCUAACGUCCGUCGUGAAGAGGGAAACAACCCAGACCGCCAGCUAAGGUCCCAAAGUCAUGGUUAAGUGGGAAACGAUGUGGGAAGGCCCAGACAGCCAGGAUGUUGGCUUAGAAGCAGCCAUCAUUUAAAGAAAGCGUAAUAGCUCACUGGUCGAGUCGGCCUGCGCGGAAGAUGUAACGGGGCUAAACCAUGCACCGAAGCUGCGGCAGCGACGCUGAUGCGUUGUUGGGUAGGGGAGCGUUCUGUAAGCCUGCGAAGGUGGCCUGUGAGGGUUGCUGGAGGUAUCAGAAGUGCGAAUGCUGACAUAAGUAACGAUAAAGCGGGUGAAAAGCCCGCUCGCCGGAAGACCAAGGGUUCCUGUCCAACGUUAAUCGGGGCAGGGUGAGUCGACCCCUAAGGCGAGGCCGAAAGGCGUAGUCGAUGGGAAACGGGUUAAUAUUCCCGUACUUGGUGUUACUGCGAAGGGGGGACGGAGAAGGCUAUGUUGGCCGGGCGACGGUUGUCCCGGUUUAAGCGUGUAGGUGUGUGUUCCAGGUAAAUCCGGUUCACUUUAACACUGAGGCGUGAUGACGAGGCACUACGGUGCUGAAGCAACAAAUGCCCUGCUUCCAGGAAAAGCCUCUAAGCAUCAGGUAACAUCAAAUCGUACCCCAAACCGACACAGGUGGUCAGGUAGAGAAUACCAAGGCGCUUGAGAGAACUCGGGUGAAGGAACUAGGCAAAAUGGUGCCGUAACUUCGGGAGAAGGCACGCUGACACGUAGGUGAAGUGAUUUACUCAUGGAGCUGAAGUCAGUCGAAGAUACCAGCUGGCUGCAACUGUUUAUUAAAAACACAGCACUGUGCAAACACGAAAGUGGACGUAUACGGUGUGACGCCUGCCCGGUGCCGGAAGGUUAAUUGAUGGGGUCAGCGCAAGCGAAGCUCCUGAUCGAAGCCCCGGUAAACGGCGGCCGUAACUAUAACGGUCCUAAGGUAGCGAAAUUCCUUGUCGGGUAAGUUCCGACCUGCACGAAUGGCGUAAUGAUGGCCAGGCUGUCUCCACCCGAGACUCAGUGAAAUUGAACUCGCUGUGAAGAUGCAGUGUACCCGCGGCAAGACGGAAAGACCCCGUGAACCUUUACUAUAGCUUGACACUGAACAUUGAGCCUUGAUGUGUAGGAUAGGUGGGAGGCUUUGAAGUGUGGACGCCAGUCUGCAUGGAGCCGGCCUUGAAAUACCACCCUUUAAUGUUUGAUGUUCUAACGUGGACCCGUGAUCCGGGUUGCGGACAGUGUCUGGUGGGUAGUUUGACUGGGGCGGUCUCCUCCUAAAGAGUAACGGAGGAGCACGAAGGUUGGCUAAUCCUGGUCGGACAUCAGGAGGUUAGUGCAAUGGCAUAAGCCAGCUUGACUGCGAGCGUGACGGCGCGAGCAGGUGCGAAAGCAGGUCAUAGUGAUCCGGUGGUUCUGAAUGGAAGGGCCAUCGCUCAACGGAUAAAAGGUACUCCGGGGAUAACAGGCUGAUACCGCCCAAGAGUUCAUAUCGACGGCGGUGUUUGGCACCUCGAUGUCGGCUCAUCACAUCCUGGGGCUGAAGUAGGUCCCAAGGGUAUGGCUGUUCGCCAUUUAAAGUGGUACGCGAGCUGGGUUUAGAACGUCGUGAGACAGUUCGGUCCCUAUCUGCCGUGGGCGCUGGAGAACUGAGGGGGGCUGCUCCUAGUACGAGAGGACCGGAGUGGACGCAUCACUGGUGUUCGGGUUGUCAUGCCAAUGGCACUGCCCGGUAGCUAAAUGCGGAAGAGAUAAGUGCUGAAAGCAUCUAAGCACGAAACUUGCCCCGAGAUGAGUUCUCCCUGAGACUUUAGGUCUCCUGAAGGAACGUUGAAGACGACAACGUUGAUAGGCCGGGUGUGUAAGCGCAGCGAUGCGUUGAGCUAACCGGUACUAAUGAACCGUGAGGCUUAACCUUACAACGCCGAAG